RNAcentral lists this ribosomal RNA (112 nucleotides) under Caerostris darwini. The record is from RNAcentral. Lineage: Eukaryota; Metazoa; Arthropoda; Arachnida; Araneae; Araneidae.
AACGGUCAUACCAUGCUGAAUAUACCGGUUCUCGUUAGAUCACCAAAGUCAAGCAGCAUUGGUUGCGGUCAGUACUUGGAUGGGUAACCACCUGGGAACACCGCGUGCCGUU